CAGUAGGGAAUCUUCCACAAUGGACGCAAGUCUGAUGGAGCAACGCCGCGUGAGUGAAGAAGGUUUUCGGAUCGUAAAGCUCUGUUGUUGGUGAAGAAGGAUAGAGGCAGUAACUGGUCUUUAUUUGACGGUAAUCAACCAGAAAGUCACGGCUAACUACGUGCCAG
Molecule: ribosomal RNA, 167 nt
Filed under: uncultured bacterium
Lineage: Bacteria
Description: partial 16S rRNA
Rfam family: Bacterial small subunit ribosomal RNA
Source: RNAcentral